UACGUAGGGUGCGAGCGUUGUCCGGAAUUAUUGGGCGUAAAGAGCUUGUAGGCGGUCUGUCGCGUCUGCUGUGAAAAUCCGGGGCUCAACCCCGGACUUGCAGUGGGUACGGGCAGACUAGAGUGUGGUAGGGGAGAUCGGAAUUCCUGGUGUAGCGGUGAAAUGCGCAGAUAUCAGGAGGAACACCGGUGGCGAAGGCGGAUCUCUGGGCCAUUACUGACGCUGAGGAGCGAAAGCGUGGGGAGCGAACAGG
This 253-nucleotide ribosomal RNA is filed under the name uncultured bacterium. RNAcentral describes it as "partial 16S ribosomal RNA". It matches the Rfam family "Bacterial small subunit ribosomal RNA", at positions 524 to 776 of the family's 1533-position model. The record is from RNAcentral.